CCAAGUGAUGGGGUGACGCAGUGGGGUAGCCGCGCCACUUAUUGGAUUGUGGUGUAAGCGUGUGGCACGAGGGGAGUGGUAAAUCCGCCCCUCAUUGUGUGUGAGGCGUGAUGCGUAGCCCUUUUGGGGUGAAUGUGGUGAUCCCGUACUGUCGAGAAAAGCCUCUAGCGAUGUAUGUAUAUGGCCCGUACCCUAAACCGACACAGGUAGUCAGGUAGAGAAUACUAAGGCGUUCGGGUGAACUGUGGUUAAGGAACUCGGCAAAAUGCCCCCGUAACUUCGGGAGAAGGGGGGCCACUGUUGGUGAUAGAACAUUUCGUUUUUGAGCUGGUGGUGGUCGCAGAGAAUAGAGGGAAGCGACUGUUUAUUAAAAACACAGGUCCGUGCGAAAACGUUGAAGUUGAGGUAUACGGACUGACGCCUGCCCGGUGCUGGAAGGUUAAGAGGACCUGUUAGAUCCCUUUGGGGGUCGAAGCGGAGAAUUUAAGCCCCAGUAAACGGCGGUGGUAACUAUAACCAUCCUAAGGUAGCGAAAUUCCUUGUCGGGUAAGUUCCGACCUGCACGAAUGGCGUAACGACUUCCCUGCUGUCUCAACCACAGGCCCGGUGAAAUUGCAGUACGAGUAAAGAUGCUCGUUACGCGCGGCAGGACGAAAAGACCCCGGGACCUUCACUAUAGCUUGGUAUUGGUGUUCGGUUCGGUUUGUGUAGGAUAGGUGGGAGACUGUGAUCAUGUGACGCUAGUUGUGUGUGAGUCGUUGUUGAAAUACCACUCUGAUCGGAUUGGAUACCUGAACCUUGGCCCAUGAUCUGGGUUGGGGACAGUGCCUGGUGGGUAGUUUAACUGGGGCGGUUGCCUCCCAAAAUGUAACGGAGGCGCCCAAAGGUUCCCUCAGCCUGGUUGGUAAUCAGGUGGUGAGUGUAAGUGCACAAGGGAGCUUGACUGUGAGAGUGACAACUCGAGCAGGGACGAAAGUCGGGACUAGUGAUCCGGCACCUACUUGUGGAAGUGGUGUCGCUCAACGGAUAAAAGGUACCCCGGGGAUAACAGGCUGAUCUUCCCCAAGAGUCCAUAUCGACGGGAUGGUUUGGCACCUCGAUGUCGGCUCGUCGCAUCCUGGGGCUGGAGUAGGUCCCAAGGGUUGGGCUGUUCGCCCAUUAAAGCGGCACGCGAGCUGGGUUUAGAACGUCGUGAGACAGUUCGGUCUCUAUCCGCCGCGCGCGUAGAAACUUGUGGAAGGCUGUCCCUAGUACGAGAGGACCGGGACGGGCGUACCUCUAGUGUGCCAGUUGUUCCGCCAGGGGCAGGGCUGGUUGGCUACGUACGGAAGGGAUAACCGCUGAAAGCAUCUAAGCGGGAAGCCUGUUUCGAGAUGAGGUUUCGUGUGAGGUCCCCUGUAGAUGACGGGGUUGAUAGGCCAGAUCUGGAAGCAUUGUAAGGUGUGGAGGUGACUGGUACUAAUAGACCAAC
RNAcentral lists this ribosomal RNA (1471 nucleotides) under metagenome. Its description in RNAcentral is "bacterial LSU rRNA". It matches the Rfam family "Bacterial large subunit ribosomal RNA", at positions 1457 to 2912 of the family's 2925-position model. The record is from RNAcentral.